RNAcentral lists this ribosomal RNA (253 nucleotides) under uncultured bacterium. Its description in RNAcentral is "partial 16S ribosomal RNA". It matches the Rfam family "Bacterial small subunit ribosomal RNA", at positions 524 to 776 of the family's 1533-position model. The record is from RNAcentral.
UACGGGGGGGGCAAGCGUUGUUCGGAAUUACUGGGCGUAAAGGGCUCGUAGGUGGCCAACUAAGUCAGACGUGAAAUCCCUCGGCUUAACCGGGGAACUGCGUCUGAUACUGGAUGGCUUGAGUUUGGGAGAGGGAUGCGGAAUUCCAGGUGUAGCGGUGAAAUGCGUAGAUAUCUGGAGGAACACAGGUGGCGAAGGCGGCAUCCUGGACCAACACUGACACUGAGGAGCGAAAGCCAGGGGAGCAAACGGG